CUAAAAUAAUACCAGGUUCACAUUGUUACGACUAAACAAAAAGUACAACAAUCCAAGUCAAAAGUACGAUAGUUUGGGGGCUUAUGGAGCAGCUGUCACAGAAAUACCAAAUAAACCUGCAUGAGAAAAGUCUUAGGAGUGAUAAAGCCAGAGAUCUUCUACCCCAGCUCCAGAGAAGGUGACUUGAGAAACAAAAAUGGUUCCAGACAGCAUAAUAGAAGCCAUUGGGCAAGUGUUAGAAGACCAGAAUCGCCCUCUAAAGGAACGUUUUCGUGCUCUCUUUACACUGAAGAAUCUUGGUGGAGAAGCUGCCAUAGUUGCUAUAUCACAGUGUUUUAGCGAUCCUUCAGCACUCCUGAAACACGAGUCGGCAUACUGCCUCGGACAAAUGGGGGAUACACGCGCUAUCCCUACACUUACAAAAAUAUUAAAAGACGUUGAACAGGAACCCAUUGUACGUCAUGAGGCUGGAGAGGCUCUGGGGGCCAUAGGGGACCCCUCAGUCUUGGAUCUCUUAAGGUCUUAUAGUAAGGACCCUGUUACUGAGGUAGCAGAGACUUGUCAGUUGGCUGUAGGGAGAAUAGAAUGGUUUCAGAAGGAGUCUAAUAAAGGCGAAAAAUUUGAAGGAGCCGAUAAAUUCUUCUCUGUUGAUCCAACUCCGCCAGCAACCGAUACGGAUGUUGAAAAGUUAAGAGAAAGGUUACUUGAAGAAUCCCUUCCACUUUUUGACCGUUAUCGUGCAAUGUUUUCUCUUCGUAACCUGAACACCCCAGAGAGUGCCAAAGCUCUUGCUGCAGGAUUUAAAUGCAGCAGUGCCCUCUUUCGUCAUGAAAUUGGUUUUGUAUUGGGUCAAAUGUCUAAUGAUGUUGUAGUCAAAGAAUUAACAGCUGUCGUGCAAGAUGAAAAUGAAAACGAAAUGGUACGUCAUGAGGCAGCCGAGGCUCUUGGUUCAAUAGCCACUGUAGCAGCCAUGGCAGUAUUAAAAGAAUACCAACGAGACAAAGCCCGUGUAGUACGAGAGAGCUGUGAAGUAGCGCUGGAUAUGUCAGAGUAUGAAAAUAGCUCUGAGUUUCAAUAUGCCGAUGGACUCCUUAAGAUUGAACAGAAUGAAAAUGGAAUGACAGGUUAAAUGUAAUCAUUCAUUAUUAAGAAACAAAAUCCAGUCAUGCAGGCAGAGUCCAAGGUGGCUGGAGACGAGAGCAAACGCACGCCGUCUUUAUUUACUGUGAGCCACUCGACACCGUGCUGCUCCAUCAUUCGUAUACGCUGCUGCUUCAUUAAAACUACAGUACAAUGACUCCAGAGCCAAGAAGUAGUGACAGUCAAUGCCGGCCCCAGCUGUGUGUGGCUGCACAGGGCCCUCUCCUGAAUACAAUAUAUUUGCUUUUAGUAGGAUUUGUAUUUCAAAUCUGGCGUGUCGUGUGGUAUGCGCAUCCCAAAACUGCAGGCGAGUGCGUUUCAGCCAUCUGGCACCGGUAAGUCUGGUCUAUGACGGUUUCUGUCUACAGAGUAUAAAAUCCUGGCAAUGGUGUCAGAUUCACACCCUCCUGGGGAAAGGAAGGACAUGAGUGUUGUUAGUAUUUAUGUUUGUAUCUGUUAUGUGUUCACAGUUGUAACAAUAGAAGUUGCUCAUUUAUAGCUGUUACCGCCACAGUAAGAUAAACUAGAAGAGAGAGAGAGGGUGAGAGGAGAGACACAGUGUUGACAACGAAUUUUGCCGAGGUGUUUAAAUGGGCUCGUCGGCCACACUGGUAACAGCUGUGACGGACAGUCUAUCGCCUUCUACUGUAGAGACAACAGCUACCAGGAGGAUAUUAUAUUUGUUCUCGUUGGUCAAACCCUAGACCCCAAAACGUGAGUGUGAUUGUGAACU
This 1873-nucleotide unclassified non-coding RNA is filed under the name Homarus americanus (American lobster). RNAcentral's name for it is "deoxyhypusine hydroxylase-like, transcript variant X3". Lineage: Eukaryota; Metazoa; Arthropoda; Malacostraca; Decapoda; Nephropidae. The record is from RNAcentral.